UACGUAGGCAGCAAGCGUUGUUCGGAGUUACUGGGCGUAAAGGGUGUGUAGGCGGUUGCUUAAGUUUGGUGUGAAAUCUCCCGGCUCAACUGGGAGGGUGCGCCGAAUACUGAGUGACUCGAGUGCGGGAGAGGAAAGUGGAAUUCCUGGUGUAGCGGUGAAAUGCGUAGAUAUCAGGAGGAACACCGGUGGUGUAGACGGCUCACUGGACCGGUACUGACGCUGAUGCGCGAAAGCGUGGGGAGCAAACGGG
RNAcentral lists this ribosomal RNA (253 nucleotides) under uncultured bacterium. RNAcentral's name for it is "partial 16S ribosomal RNA". It matches the Rfam family "Bacterial small subunit ribosomal RNA", at positions 524 to 776 of the family's 1533-position model. The record is from RNAcentral.